This is a long non-coding RNA of Oreochromis aureus, 289 nucleotides long. NCBI's taxonomy places the organism in Eukaryota, Metazoa, Chordata, Actinopteri, Cichliformes, Cichlidae. The record is from Ensembl.
AGAAAAAGAGGAAGGGGACAGCAAAACCAACCACAAGUAUCGCAGUACUGAGCCUUAAGAGCGAGCAGAGAUGAAGACUGGCAAACUACCUGGGUCUCUCCAGCCAAUUAGAGCCCAUCUGCACAGCACACACCAUGCAGGCCAGGCUGAAGCCAGCCUCUGUAGGGGACCAGCCAGCCUAGUCAGGCUGCUGAAGGGCUCAGUGGUGGCUAAGGCUGUCUGGUCUGGGCCCAAAAUAUCUGCUUCCAUAACCGCCCAUCUGCCCGUGGCUUGGCCUGGUACACUUUCA